Molecule: ribosomal RNA, 1263 nt
Filed under: Triticum aestivum (bread wheat)
Lineage: Eukaryota; Viridiplantae; Streptophyta; Magnoliopsida; Poales; Poaceae
Description: partial small subunit ribosomal RNA
Source: RNAcentral
AUGGAGAAGGCUUCUGUUCUCGAUGAUUCACCAGAUUGGAGCACCGAUUGUGAUUGGUCCCAGCUUCAGUCCGACAUGCUCCUCCGGAUCUUUGGCACUCUCGAGAUCCCAGAUCUCUUCAGCUCAGGUGCCGUCUGUCGAUCCUGGCACCUCAUUUAUCUGGAGGCCCGUCGUUUCCGCCUGUGCUCGCCGAAACAGAGUCCCUGCCUUGUUUACUCAUCUGGCGACCGUGAUGCUGACACGGUCACCCUGCAUAACAUGUCCACCGACAAGCUUUACCACGUCACUCUAUCGGAGCCUGCCUUCCGCACACGCCAUGUCAUGGGCUCCUCCUACGGCUGGCUCAUCACUGCGGAUGAGCGGUCGAAUCUCAUACUAGUCAACCCUGCAACCCGAGCUCAGAUAGCUAUGCCUCCACCUGAAACCAUGAACAAUGUUAGACUGCGCUACACUGAAGAGGGCGUGCUAGAUGGAUAUGAUGUUCUUUUCAUGGAUCUGUUCUCUUCGGAUUUUGACACUGAAAUGGAGCCAUACCAUCUUACACUUGAAGAAGCCCACUUCUUCUUCUAUGAGAGGGUUGUUCUUUCUUGCGACCCCUCCCAAGGAAACUGCAUGGUGCUCCGAAUACAAUUGCCCAAUAGUCAACUCUCUUAUACUAGGGUUGGGGACACCAAAUGGACUUGGAUUGGUGGAAAAGGAAAUUGCUGGGAAUAUCAAGAUAUUCUGUAUAACAACAAUGAUGGUUUGUUUUAUGGUGUUCGUGGCGAGGGUCAGGUAGAUUCUAUUAACCUUAAUGGAACUUCUGCUGAAGUAAAAGUCAUUUUAAAGUCAAUCAUAUCUUACCAAGCACAUAGUAGAUAUAUUGUUCAAGCACCAUGGGGAGAUUUUUUCCAGAUAUGGAGACAUGAUAAAUCUAAUAAAGAGAAUGGGAUAACAGAAUGUGUUGCCGACAAAUUUUUUGUGUACAAGGUUGAUUUUGUUGGACAAAAGAUAAUCGAAACAAAUAACCUCCAAGAUCAUGCAAUGUUCAUUGGUUUCAACAACUCGUUCCUUCUCCCAGUGAAAGACUUUCCUGCAUUGGUUCCCAAUAGCAUCUACCACACGGAUGACUUGCUUGAUUAUAUCUACUGUCACAGAUUUAGUCUUAGGCAGGUUGUUAUUUUUAAUAUGGAAGAUGGUAGUUUCAUCGAGUUAUCGCCCCCUAGUUCAAAUUCAAGAUUGAACUGGCCACCCCCAGUUUGGAUUCAACCAUCACUUGCUUGA